Long non-coding RNA from Etheostoma cragini (Arkansas darter), 112 nucleotides. RefSeq lists it as uncharacterized. Lineage: Eukaryota; Metazoa; Chordata; Actinopteri; Perciformes; Percidae. The transcript has 3 exons. The record is from RefSeq and is a predicted model, not a curated record.
AAAUAUGAGGUCAAAGACUAUUGAGGUGUCCUCUCCCUGUUGUUACAUGAAUGUACAGUAGUCUACUCUAUAUAGUUAUCGGUUCAGUGAACUGAGACUAUAAUUAUGGAGG